UACGAAGGUCCCAAGCGUUAUCCGGAUUUAUUGGGUUUAAAGGGUGCGUAGGCGGACUAUUAAGUCAGUGGUGAAAUCCUGCAGCCUAACUGUAGAAUUGCCAUUGAUACUGAUGGUCUUGAGUACAUUUGAAGUGGGCGGAAUGUGUCAUGUAGCGGUGAAAUGCUUAGAUAUGACACAGAACACCGAUUGCGUAGGCAGCUCGCUAAACUGUAACUGACGCUGAGGCACGAAAGCGUGGGGAGCAAACAGGAUUAGAUACCCUGGUAGUCCACGCCCUAAACGAUGAUCACUCGAUGUGUGCGAUACACUGUACGCGUCCAAGCGAAAGCAUUAAGUGAUCCACCUGGGGAGUACGGCCGCAAGGCUGAA
This 372-nucleotide ribosomal RNA is filed under the name uncultured bacterium. RNAcentral's name for it is "bacterial SSU rRNA". It matches the Rfam family "Bacterial small subunit ribosomal RNA", at positions 524 to 898 of the family's 1533-position model. The record is from RNAcentral.